RNAcentral lists this ribosomal RNA (38 nucleotides) under Ellisiophyllum pinnatum. RNAcentral's name for it is "partial 18S ribosomal RNA". Lineage: Eukaryota; Viridiplantae; Streptophyta; Magnoliopsida; Lamiales; Plantaginaceae. The record is from RNAcentral.
GUACAAGGUUUCCGUAGGUGAACCUGCGGAAGGAUCAU